Molecule: ribosomal RNA, 433 nt
Filed under: uncultured bacterium
Lineage: Bacteria
Description: partial 16S ribosomal RNA
Rfam family: Bacterial small subunit ribosomal RNA
Source: RNAcentral
AACGAACGCUGGCGGCAUGCCUAACACAUGCAAGUCGAACGAGACCUUCGGGUCUAGUGGCGCACGGGUGCGUAACGCGUGGGAACCUGCCCUUAGGUUCGGAAUAACUCCCCGAAAGGGGUGCUAAUACCGGAUAAUGUCUUCGGACCAAAGAUUUAUCGCCUUUGGAUGGGCCCGCGUUGGAUUAGCUAGUUGGUAGGGUAAAAGCCUACCAAGGCGACGAUCCAUAGCUGGUCUGAGAGGAUGAUCAGCCACACUGGGACUGAGACACGGCCCAGACUCCUACGGGAGGGAGCAGUGGGGAAUAGGGGACAAGGGGCGAAAGCGUGAUCCAGCAAUGCCGCGUGAGUGAUGAAGGCCUUAGGGUUGUAAAGCUCUUUGAACCGGGAUGAUAAUGACAGUACCGGGAGAAUAAGCUCCGGCUAACUCCGUG